UACGUAGGGUGCAAGCGUUAAUCGGAAUUACUGGGCGUAAAGCGUGCGCAGGCGGCUUUGCAAGACAGAUGUGAAAUCCCCGGGCUCAACCUGGGAACUGCGCUUGUGACUGCAAGACUCGAGUACGGCAGAGGGGGGUGGAAUUCCACGUGUAGCAGUGAAAUGCGUAGAGAUGUGGAGGAACACCGAUGGCGAAGGCAGCCCCCUGGGUCGAUACUGACGCUCAUGCACGAAAGCGUGGGGAGCAAACAGG
RNAcentral lists this ribosomal RNA (253 nucleotides) under uncultured bacterium. Its description in RNAcentral is "partial 16S ribosomal RNA". It matches the Rfam family "Bacterial small subunit ribosomal RNA", at positions 524 to 776 of the family's 1533-position model. The record is from RNAcentral.